CGGCUUUGUUUAACAUUUACUUUAAAAAUGAAUGAUGACAAUUCUUCGCUAGUGACAACUAACAUGAGCAUUGCAUGGUCCCAUUAAGAGAAAAAAAAAAGGGGGGCUGCAUAGACAAAUAGAAAGAAUGAAGCUUUUCACACACGCCUACUAAAUAUUGAAAUUAAAAUGUAAAACGAAGACAUGUUUGCCACAAUAAUAAUCACUUACUUGUCGCUACAUAAGGAUGACUUCCAGUCUUCUUUGGAGUCAAAGACGUGUUUGCAGCAACAGUCAUCGCCUAGUUGUCGCUGUACAAGGAUGACUUCCAGUCUUCUUUGGAAUCCAAAGUCAUAUAAAGAAAAAAAAUACAACAGAUACAAAUUUUCAUCCUUUCGAGUGAACAAAUAGCAAUACCGAUAUUGAAUCUGAAAUUUUAUCUAUCGAAAUAAAUAAAAUUAUUUACAGUUGGAUAAAAUUUUAUUUUAUUUAUUUUCUGUUUGUGUUGUGUCUUAAUUUAAUUCUUAUGUUUGUUACAAUAAUUUUGUUUUUAUUAAAGAAUUACUUCUUAAAUUCAGAUUGUUUGAAUGAUAUAA
This 575-nucleotide long non-coding RNA is filed under the name Citrus x clementina. RNAcentral's name for it is "Citrus clementina (C. clementina) long non-coding RNA (CCLE_LNC006531)". Lineage: Eukaryota; Viridiplantae; Streptophyta; Magnoliopsida; Sapindales; Rutaceae. The record is from RNAcentral.